UAGCUCAAACAGUACCUUCAUAAAGAACCUUUCAGAAAAAAUGCCCCUCGCAAUAUGGCGGCGACGUUCACGUGCGUUCCGGAUCUCCAUUGUAUUUCGUUCGUUCGGGGAACGAGCCGAAAUUCCCAUCUCUAGUAUCGUGUCUGCGACAGCCAAUCACGUUUCGUUUCAGCCCCUGUGGAGCCUCUCUACAGGUGAUUGGUGGCCUCGGCCAGCCAAUCAGAUGGCGUGUUUCACAGCAAAGUUGUUAACCCCCAACAGUAGCACUUUGCUUUCCAGCUCUCUAGUUUCGACCAACGGAAGGAAAAUAGGGCUUUUACCGACUGAAAGACGCCGUUUGACGGCCCGGAUGUUGAACGGGAGCCGGCCGCUUCUCACCGGCUGGUUCUGUUCGUGAAACUAAGUAGAACCAGCGAUGGCUAACGUUGAUGUUAACUCCCUCUGUGGCUCGCUGCGUCGUGUUCUCUGUCGUCUCUCUCUCUCGGGUUUUUCUUCUUCUUCUGGUUAAACUUGCAGAAAUGUUCCCUAUCUGUCCCGAAGGCUUCCACGUUUCCACACAGAUCCACUCGAUCAUCUUUGUGGAAGUUAUGGGUUUAAGAAUGAAAAUAAAAACCUUUAUUCUCUGCCUGGACCCAGGAUGAUCACAGCAUCAACAGAUGGAGGCAGCAUUGCGCACGCUGUGACUCAUUUCACCUGGAGUAAACAUCUUUUUUAUGUGCCACUUAGUUGUGGCAUCACUGCUGAUGAGGUUCAGUGGAUCUGAACAGUUUUUCCUGCUCAUCCAGCAACGACUGCAUCCUUAGUGUUUAAUGGGUGGAGUGAGUUAGUCAUGUUUUUCUUGUUUUCACACCAAAAAAAAUGAAAAAAAUAAAAAAAGCAACAAACAGCCUUAUUUUCUAGGUGGAGUUGACUUAAUUUUGCUCAAAAUUACUACAUUGCUUAACUUUCAAACAUGGGUUGCAUAAAAUAUUAAGUAUUAUGAGUAUUUUUAUCAUGUAUAAAUUAUUUUAACUGUUUAUUGAUAGGAGGAAUUAAUAUAUCUACAUGUAAGGAACUGAGCAUAUAAGUGCAAAACAAAGGGGAAUUAUUUCUAGAAACGAUACAGAAACUUGAAUUAGUCUUUAGAAUAUUUAAAAGAUCACUUGCACAACUGUGUUGUUUUUCAUUUUUUAAUUAUUUAUUUUUCAUAUAAGUUGGAUUGGUUUGGGAUAUUCCGUCAGUUGUGCCAUUUUUUUAAACCUGGUAUUUUAUUUACAUGUUUUGGUCAUAAAUGCGUAUGUUAGUAGUUUUUGUAGUUUGUGGGUUUACUGUGGUAUUUAUUUACGACU
This is a long non-coding RNA of Poecilia latipinna (sailfin molly), 1328 nucleotides long. RefSeq lists it as uncharacterized. The record is from RefSeq and is a predicted model, not a curated record. NCBI's taxonomy places the organism in Eukaryota, Metazoa, Chordata, Actinopteri, Cyprinodontiformes, Poeciliidae. The transcript has 3 exons.